Molecule: non-coding RNA, 297 nt
Filed under: Paenibacillus sp.
Lineage: Bacteria; Bacillati; Bacillota; Bacilli; Caryophanales; Paenibacillaceae
Description: T-box sequence
Rfam family: T-box leader
About the family: Uncharged tRNA acts as the effector for transcription antitermination of genes in the T-box leader family. T-boxes are found upstream of many aminoacyl-tRNA synthetase genes and some amino acid biosynthetic genes usually in Gram-positive bacteria.
Source: RNAcentral
GAAACUUCGUUGACGAGAACGAGUAUGUAUCGUGGCUUGAUCCCCAGAGAGUCGUUGCUUUGCUGCAAGACGACGUUCAAGCAGUUACAGAAUAUCAUCUCCGAGAAGCGGCGCCGAAACUUUUCCUAACCAGCUAUUGUAGCUGUACGGCAGAAGGAGUAAGGGCCGACGGUCCGUCCUCCGUUACAAGGACCGUGGAUGCUAAGGCAUUCACGCCAAAGGUGCCGUCUUUUAGGCUGCUUAUGCAGCGACAUUGACGGAACAAGGGUGGUAACGCGAGCAAGCCUCGUCCCUUCU